CCUACGGGAGGCAGCAGUGAGGAAUAUUGGUCAAUGGACGAGAGUCUGAACCAGCCAAGUAGCGUGAAGGAUGACUGCCCUAUGGGUUGUAAACUUCUUUUAUAUGGGAAUAAAAUGUUCCACGUGUGGGAUUUUGUAUGUACCAUAUGAAUAAGGAUCGGCUAACUCCGUGCCAGCAGCCGCGGUAAUACGGAGGAGCCGAGCGUUAUCCGGAUUUAUUGGGUUUAAAGGGAGCGUAGGUGGAUUGUUAAGUCAGUUGUGAAAGUUUGCGGCUCAACCGUAAAAUUGCAGUUGAAACUGGCAGUCUUGAGUACAGUAGAGGUGUGCGGAAUUCGUGGUGUAGCGGUGAAAUGCUUAGAUAUCACGAAGAACUCCGAUUGCGAAGGCAGUUCACUGGACUGUAACUGACACUGAGGCUCGAAAGUGUGGGUAUCAAACAGGAUUAGAUACCCGAGUAGUC
RNAcentral lists this ribosomal RNA (460 nucleotides) under uncultured bacterium. Its description in RNAcentral is "partial 16S ribosomal RNA". It matches the Rfam family "Bacterial small subunit ribosomal RNA", at positions 338 to 795 of the family's 1533-position model. The record is from RNAcentral.